CCUACGGGAGGCUGCAGUGGGGAAUAUUGGACAAUGGGGGCAACCCUGAUCCAGCCAUGCCGCGUGUGUGAAGAAGGCCCUCGGGUUGUAAAGCACUUUCAGUGAGGAAGAACGCCUGGUGGUUAAUACCCAUCAGGAAAGACAUCACUCACAGAAGAAGCACCGGCUAACUCCGUGCCAGCAGCCGCGGUAAUACGGAGGGUGCGAGCGUUAAUCGGAAUUACUGGGCGUAAAGCGCGCGUAGGUGGCUUGAUAAGCCGGUUGUGAAAGCCCCGGGCUCAACCUGGGAACGGCAUCCGGAACUGUCAAGCUAGAGUGCAGGAGAGGAAGGUAGAAUUCCCGGUGUAGCGGUGAAAUGCGUAGAGAUCGGGAGGAAUACCAGUGGCGAAGGCGGCCUUCUGGACUGACACUGACACCGAGGUGCGAAAGCGUGGGUAGCAAACAGGAUUAGAUACCCUGGUAGUC
Molecule: ribosomal RNA, 465 nt
Filed under: Vreelandella stevensii
Lineage: Bacteria; Pseudomonadati; Pseudomonadota; Gammaproteobacteria; Oceanospirillales; Halomonadaceae
Description: partial 16S ribosomal RNA
Rfam family: Bacterial small subunit ribosomal RNA
Source: RNAcentral